RNA transcript from Eucalyptus grandis, 581 nucleotides. RefSeq lists it as uncharacterized. The transcript is spliced from 2 exons. NCBI's taxonomy places the organism in Eukaryota, Viridiplantae, Streptophyta, Magnoliopsida, Myrtales, Myrtaceae. The record is from RefSeq and is a predicted model, not a curated record.
CUUCGAGCUCUCCGUCCUCUCGCAACGCCGAGGUUGCACUCAUCAUCGUCUUCCCGAGGGCAAGCUCUACGAGUUCUCGAGCUCGACAAGACGGUACUUGGCCAUGGCGAACCUGGCCAACGGCGAGCCCGGUUCCGCGCGAUGAAGCUCGGGGGCUGACGGACUUGAGCUUCUUGAACUAGUCGAAGAAGGCUGGGGAGUGCGCUCCUUGAUAGACGACGACUCGUUCGCGAGCGUGAAGUUGGGGAAGUUGAAGCCCUCGAAGAUCGAUCUGGCCACGAACGAUUUGAUGGCAAAGUGCCGGUGGCCGGGCUUCGCGAACCUCGCUCGCGACUCGAUGAGUCGGAUGGCCUCGUCGAGGUUCCAGUUCGCCGCCUCCAUCUCGCGAGCCAUGGCUUUCCCGAAGUGCCUCACGGAUCGUAAGGCGUAGUGGAGGACUUGGACGAAGUGGGUCGGGCUUAACGACGCGAGCUUGAAGCCGUCGAACAGGGACAAGACGCUGCUCGGAGACGAACGGAACUGAAAAUCGCCCAUUACGAAAAUGAAAAAAAAGAAAAAAAGAACCUGUCGGAACCUGGAAC